UACGCCCGGACGAAAGCCGGAUUAAUACCGCAUACGACCUACGGGUGAAAGCGGGGACCGCAAGGCCUCGCGCUAUUGGAGCGGCCGAUGUCAGAUUAGGUAGUUGGUGGGGUAAAAGGCCUACCAAGCCUACGAUCUGUAGCUGGUCUGAGAGGACGACCAGCCACACUGGGACUGAGACACGGCCCAGACUCCUACGGGAGGCAGCAGUGGGGAAUUUUGGACAAAUGGGGGCAACCCUGAUCCAGCCAUGCCGCGUGCGGGAAGAAGGCCUUCGGGUUGUAAACCGCUUUUGUCAGGGAAGAAAUCUUCUGAGCUAAUACCUCGGGGGGAUGACGGUACCUGGAGAAUAAGCACCGGCUAACUACGUGCCAGCAGCCGCGGUAAUACGUAGGGUGCAAGCGUUAAUCGGAAUUACUGGGC
RNAcentral lists this ribosomal RNA (423 nucleotides) under uncultured bacterium. Its description in RNAcentral is "bacterial SSU rRNA". It matches the Rfam family "Bacterial small subunit ribosomal RNA", at positions 142 to 559 of the family's 1533-position model. The record is from RNAcentral.